UACGUAGGGGGCAAGCGUUGUCCGGAAUCAUUGGGCGUAAAGAGCGUGUAGGCGGCCCGGUAAGUCCGCUGUGAAAGUCGGGGGCUCAACCCUCGGAUGCCGGUGGAUACUGUCGGGCUAGAGUGCGGGAGAGGCGAGUGGAAUUCCUGGUGUAGCGGUGAAAUGCGCAGAUAUCAGGAGGAACACCAAUUGCGAAGGCAGCUCGCUGGAACGUAACUGACGCUGAGACGCGAAAGCGUGGGGAGCAAACAGG
RNAcentral lists this ribosomal RNA (253 nucleotides) under uncultured bacterium. Its description in RNAcentral is "partial 16S ribosomal RNA". It matches the Rfam family "Bacterial small subunit ribosomal RNA", at positions 524 to 776 of the family's 1533-position model. The record is from RNAcentral.